UUGGGUUAAGUCCCGCAACGAGCGCAACCCUUGCCAUUAGUUGCUACGAAAGGGCACUCUAAUGGGACUGCCGGUGACAAACCGGAGGAAGUGGGGAUGACGUCAAGUCCUCAUGGCCCUUAUAGGUGGGGCUACACACGUCAUACAAUGGCCGGUACAGAGGGUAGCCAACCCGGCGAGGGGGAGCCAAUCCCACAAAGCCGGUCGUAGUCCGGAUCGCAGUCUGCAACUCGACUGCGUGAAGUCGGAAUCGCUAGUAAUCGCGGAUCAGCAUGUCGCGGUGAAUACGGUUCCCGGGUCUU
RNAcentral lists this ribosomal RNA (302 nucleotides) under uncultured Allobrachymonas sp. RNAcentral describes it as "bacterial SSU rRNA". It matches the Rfam family "Bacterial small subunit ribosomal RNA", at positions 1075 to 1382 of the family's 1533-position model. Lineage: Bacteria; Pseudomonadati; Pseudomonadota; Betaproteobacteria; Burkholderiales; Comamonadaceae. The record is from RNAcentral.